CAAGGCAUCCUGUUUACUUAUACCUGCAUUGCCAUUCAGUCGAAAGUGCUUGCACUGCAUUUGAUGACAGCAGCAGAGAAAGCCGACAGCUUUCUACUGACGAAAAACUUUGAAGAUUAUUGAAUUUCAGUUUGAAAGGGUCGCAACUGGAUUUCAGUAUUUUGUUAACACAGCUAGUGAAUUACGGAAAAUGCUGUGUGAAGAAAUGACCCCUGAACAACGUCACAAAAAGCUGACAUUAGAAUCAAGCUCCCCUGGAUGGUCAGAAUAAUUGUUUUCAAAAUGCUGCCUGAUGCACCGAGCUUCCCCAGCAUUCUGAGUGUUUGUUUCAAAUUGACUUCAUGGUUACUAUUCAUCUCUCCCUGUCACCCAGGGUCUACACCAAAUCAAUAGCUUUUGUGUUCAUCAGACGUAAUGUGGAGAAUGCUUGAAGACAGGAACUGAAACAGUUUCAUCAGCUCAAAACCCCUACCCCCAGCAGAGAAGAACGCAGUAUGGCCAAAAAGGAUAAUCCAGGAAAUUAUAGGAUACUGAAGGAAUAGAUUGAUGGGACUGGCCUUCGCAGGGAUCUUUGUUCAUGCUCUGUAGCCAUGGGUAAAGUCCAGAAGGGCAAUAGGGAUAAUCGAGGAAAUUAUAGGCUGGUGAGACUUACUUCAGCAAUAGGGAAAUUAUUGAGGAAGAUUCUUAGGGACAGGAUUUACUUGCUUUUGGAAAAAGGUUGACUUGUUAGGGAUCGACUGAGGGUAGUUGUGGAGGGAUUUUUUUUUCUAACUGGAGGUCUGUGACUAAUAGUAUUCCACAAGGAUCAGUGCUCGGACCUAUGUUGUUUGUAAUAUAUAUAAUUAAUUUGAAUAAAAGUGUCGAGCCUCUGAUUAGUAAGUUUGCAGACAACACAGAAAUUAUUUGGCAUUGUGGCUAGUGGAGAAGGUUGUCAAUAGAUACAAAGAAAGGGCGAAUGGUGUAUAAUCUGGCCAAGUAUGAGGUGAUGCAUUUUAGGAGGUCAAAUACAAGAGGAAAAUAUAAAAUAAAUAACAAGACCCUCAGGAGCCCAAAUAAACAGAGGGAUCUUGGGGUACAAGCCCAUAGCUCACUGAAAGUGGCAACACAAUUGGAAAACAUAGUAAAGAAAUCAUAUGGCAUUUUGAGCUUGCCUUUACUGGUCAGCACAUUGAGUCUCAGAGUUAGCAUGUCAUGUUGCAGCUGUAUAAAACUUCAGUUCGGCAAAUUUGGAGCAUUGUGUACAGUUGAGUCACCACACUAUAGGAUGGAUGUAGCGGCUUUACUGAAGGUGCAAAAAAAGGUCUACCAUGAUGUUGCCUGGAUUGGAGUAUAUUAGCUACAAGGAGAGUUUAAACAAACUUGGAUUGUUUUGGUUAGAGCACCAGAAGCUGAGGGUGCGACCUGGUAGAAGUCUGUAAAAUUAUGAGAGGCAUAUGUGGUGAGGAUAGUUGAAGUCUUUUUCCCAGGGUGGGAAUAUCAAAUAUUAUAGGGCAUGAGAUGGGUGUUCUGCUACUUAAAAAUAAGUGUUUUCUGAUUGAGGUGCUCUAUAGUGAGCUAUAGUCAGCUAUAAGUGAGUUUCAUUGCAACAUCCACAUUAUAAUGGCUUUCCAUUACAUUUCUAUUCUUUUGUUUACAGCUCUGUUGACGAAGCUAUUUUUCCUCUUCCUUCCCCUUCUCUCAAUAAAGACAGAAACAACUUAAUUUGACUCAAAGCAGUUUUAGAAGGUCUAAUUAACUGAAUAUAUAUUUUUUUAAUUUUGAUAUCAUCAGAAACUCAAAGUCUACCAUGGCAACCAUAAGGUGAGAUAGGUGUGCUAGGUGUCGAACAUAUGGCUAGGGGAGGUGGUAGAAUCAGGUACAACAGCAAUGUUUAAGGUUCUAUAUGAGACACACAUGAACAGAAGGGAAUAGAGAAAUACUGACCACGUGCAGGUAGAUAGAAUUAAUUUAGAAUGGUAUCAUGGUCAACACAGGCAUGGUGGGCUGAAUGGCCCGUUUCUAUGCAGUAUUGUUCUAUGUUCUAUCUGGGAUUUUCAAUAAUCUGCCUCCUCCAUUGGAAUAGAGACAUUUCCUUGGUGGAGACAUUAUGUCUGAUUAAUGUCAUUGGGUGGACUUUGAAAGUCAGUGUGAGACUCUCAGUAUCAUGGGACAAACAGUAGUAGAGUGCAAUUAACUGAAACAAUCACCAAUUUAUUUAAUCAUUCACAUUAAAAACUGAUAACAGAUACCACGCUGAAUGUACUUUGGGAGGAAUGGAGGGCUGCGAGUGUGGAUGGUGUGUUGGGAAAUCCUGCAACGGGUUUACCUUUCCCCUAUUCCCAGGCAGGAAGAGAGAGGGUCUUCAGACACACCAUUCAGCUUUCUUUAAAUAGAUUUCAUAAAGUACAUACCACAUACCUUAUUGAGUUCCUUCCCUAGACAGUUCCAAAACUGCCUUGGCAAAACUAGAUGACAGCAAUGGAGCUAGAAAAUCAGCCGGGAUACCAGCUGCCUCCAUACUGGUCCUCCCGGGUCCAUGAUAUUCAGCCCUUUAGUAAAAGUUUAAUAAAAGCCAUCUUCAGUAAGGCUGCAUAAACUCGGUUUCUUACACUCUAGGACCCAGGCUGGGUAGUUCUGCGACAGCUGGCUUACAAUGCAGAAUGAUGCCAAUACUGCAUACUCACUGGCUGGGGUUACCAUGAAAAUCCUGCCUUCAUCCCCUGGCCAGAGGCUUGGUGACUUUCAUGUUAAACACACCAUCAUUCGCCUCACCCUCUCUAAUGAGAGAGAGGGGCUGUGAUGACAUUUUACAGUCCAUGAUCGGGGCUUUCCCUCUCAGAAUGGGUGAAGUGGGCUGAGACAAAAGAGAAGCAGGAAAUGUUCUCACACUGAACAAUCAGGCACAAUAAUAAAUAUUUCCCAACCUCUUAUCACAAUAUGGCAUUCCAGCCCAUCACAGAAAAAAAUGACUUGUCUGAUUGCUGCAAAAUAAUAUUCAGGAACCAUUUUUCCAACACUACCAUCUUCAGUUUAAAAUGAAUCUCAUUACUCAGUACUAUUAAGUACAGACCCACUGCAGACUUGAUUUUAUAGAUUACAACUUCGAAUGACUUUUAAUGAUCAUACAUUAUGUGAUUUUACUAGUUUUUCUAUUAAUAGAAAUAGUCAAAGAUUAUCUUUCCUCAGUACGCAUAAUGCCACUC
This is a long non-coding RNA of Stegostoma tigrinum, 3182 nucleotides long. RefSeq lists it as uncharacterized. The record is from RefSeq and is a predicted model, not a curated record. The transcript is spliced from 4 exons. Lineage: Eukaryota; Metazoa; Chordata; Chondrichthyes; Orectolobiformes; Stegostomatidae.